AAACCAGGGAUAGAUACCCUAUUAUAAAAAUUUAAAUUAAUUUACUAAAAAAUUAAUAGUUAUGUUCUUUAAAUUUAAAAAAUUUGGCGGUAUUUUAGUCUUAUUAGAGGAACCUGUUUAUUAAUUGAUAAUCCACGAUUAAUUUUACUUAUUUAAAUUAAUUCAUAUAUCGCUGUCAUGAAUAUAUUUAAAAAUUUAUUUUCUUUAUUUAUUUUUAUAAUUUAUGUUAAGUCAAGAUGUGGUUUAUAAAUAAGAAUACAAUGGGUUACAUUAAAUUUUAUUUUUGGAUUUUAAAUGAAAAUUAAAAUGAAAUUGGAUUUAAUAGUAAAUUUAU
This 334-nucleotide ribosomal RNA is filed under the name Rhopalosiphum maidis (corn leaf aphid). RNAcentral describes it as "partial 12S ribosomal RNA". Lineage: Eukaryota; Metazoa; Arthropoda; Insecta; Hemiptera; Aphididae. The record is from RNAcentral.